Molecule: ribosomal RNA, 394 nt
Filed under: Janthinobacterium sp. 3I
Lineage: Bacteria; Pseudomonadati; Pseudomonadota; Betaproteobacteria; Burkholderiales; Oxalobacteraceae
Description: bacterial SSU rRNA
Rfam family: Bacterial small subunit ribosomal RNA
Source: RNAcentral
UACACAUGCAAGUCGAACGGCAGCGCGGGGCAACCUGGCGGCGAGUGGCGAACGGGUGAGUAAUAUAUCGGAACGUACCCUGGAGUGGGGGAUAACGUAGCGAAAGUUACGCUAAUACCGCAUACGAUCUAAGGAUGAAAGCAGGGGACCGCAAGGCCUUGUGCUCCUGGAGCGGCCGAUAUCUGAUUAGCUAGUUGGUGGGGUAAAGGCCCACCAAGGCAUCGAUCAGUAGCUGGUCUGAGAGGACGACCAGCCACACUGGAACUGAGACACGGUCCAGACUCCUACGGGAGGCAGCAGUGGGGAAUUUUGGACAAUGGGCGCAAGCCUGAUCCAGCAAUGCCGCGUGAGUGAAGAAGGCCUUCGGGUUGUAAAGCUGUUUUGUCAGGGAAGA